Molecule: transfer RNA, 78 nt
Filed under: Streptomyces cinereoruber
Lineage: Bacteria; Bacillati; Actinomycetota; Actinomycetes; Kitasatosporales; Streptomycetaceae
Description: tRNA-Arg
Source: RNAcentral
GCGUCGAAGCUGAUCAGAGGCUACAUAAAAGCCGCUCUCCUAAAGCGGGUGUCGCAGGUUCGAAUCCUGCCGGGGGCA